UGGGAGAAAAGCCAAGCAAGUGCUGAAC
This 28-nucleotide non-coding RNA is filed under the name Homo sapiens (human). The record is from RNAcentral. Lineage: Eukaryota; Metazoa; Chordata; Mammalia; Primates; Hominidae.